Molecule: long non-coding RNA, 442 nt
Organism: Ornithodoros turicata
Lineage: Eukaryota; Metazoa; Arthropoda; Arachnida; Ixodida; Argasidae
Exons: 4
Source: RefSeq, a predicted model, not a curated record
GUGUCGUUCCCUGUCUCUCUUCGUAUCUUGCCGAAAUGUCCAUGCUGGCCAUGGUGUUUGGCUGUCAAAAUCUACAUGGGACAUAAUCUUCCGAGAAGGAAAUGAGAGCAUGUUUGUAAAGAAGAUGGCGGUAGCGAUUUGGGGGAGAGAUGCUCUCAGUGCUAGGAGUGUGCACGGUAUUCUCCCCAAUCGUGCAAAGGCUGAGGGCAAAGUCUCGGCGCAGCUCCCUAUGACACCCCAGAAGGUUGCUGCAAUCCACGCCUAUGGCAUCAGAGAGGCAACAGGAUGUGUCCGUCGAUCUCAAUCCUUGCAUCUCUGAUGAAAGUCUGUCUGGAGGACUCCUUCACUCACUACAAGAGGAUGAGAGGAGAGGAGCAGGGAGAGCUGCCAAAGGACGAAGAAAAAAAAAAGAAACAAAUUUGUCGUAAAAUGCCUCAACGAA